UGGGGAAUAUUGGACAAUGGGGGGAACCCUGAUCCAGCCAUGCCGCGUGUGUGAAGAAGGCCUUUUGGUUGUAAAGCACUUUAAGCGAGGAGGAGGCUACCGAGAAUAAUACUCUUGGAUAGUGGACGUUACUCGCAGAAUAAGCACCGGCUAACUCUGUGCCAGCAGCCGCGGUAAUACAGAGGGUGCGAGCGUUAAUCGGAUUUACUGGGCGUAAAGCGUACGUAGGUGGUCUUUUAAGUCGGAUGUGAAAUCCCUGAGCUUAACUUAGGAAUUGCAUUCGAUACUGGGAGACUAGAGUAUGGGAGAGGAUGGUAGAAUUCCAGGUGUAGCGGUGAAAUGCGUAGAGAUCUGGAGGAAUACCGAUGGCGAAGGCAGCCAUCUGGCCUAAUACUGACACUGAGGUACGAAAGCAUGGGGAGCAAACA
RNAcentral lists this ribosomal RNA (428 nucleotides) under uncultured Acinetobacter sp. Its description in RNAcentral is "bacterial SSU rRNA". It matches the Rfam family "Bacterial small subunit ribosomal RNA", at positions 355 to 774 of the family's 1533-position model. The record is from RNAcentral. Lineage: Bacteria; Pseudomonadati; Pseudomonadota; Gammaproteobacteria; Moraxellales; Moraxellaceae.